UUGUGAACAAGAUAUUGCAUGCUACUGGUAUCUGAUCUUCCCAAAACUUAAAAACACUUUCUGGAAGACACACAUGACUUGUAACCAAGCAACCAGUUAAAGUUUCAAACCAUCCAAGACUGCCAUUAAUUCAGCCAUAUUUAUUAGUGCCCCUCCUGUAAUGUCUAGAAAAACUAACCAAAAAUCUCCCAGAAGCAUCCUUUCAGGGAGAGUUUGUUCAAAGGUUUAAAAGCAUCCUUACUUCUUCUUCUUUUUUAAAGAAGGUAUACAAACUUUACUCUUCCUUCCAAGGGUUAAGAAGGAACUGAAGCUUUGGACUACUAGUAGGUGUAUUAAGAAGGAACUGAACUAGAAUGUGUGUUUGAUAUAAAAUCCCCGACCUCUGUUUUUUCUUCUUCUAUUUUUUCAAAUCAAAGGAUGUCCAGCCACAUAAAUUCCAUCCAGACAAUUCUACACUGCCCAAGGACAAAGUACAUUUUUUUUCAUAAAAGAGAUACUUAUUUUAACAAUAAUAAAACAUAUCAGCUCAUAGUGCACGACUGAUGCAUUCACGAGGAUCAAAGACAUCAGUUCCCACCACUACCACCAAAGAGGUACCCCAGCGAAGAUCCA
Juglans regia (Persian walnut) is the source of this 612-nucleotide long non-coding RNA. RefSeq lists it as uncharacterized. Lineage: Eukaryota; Viridiplantae; Streptophyta; Magnoliopsida; Fagales; Juglandaceae. The record is from RefSeq and is a predicted model, not a curated record. The transcript has 2 exons.